UGAGGAAUAUUGCGCAAUGGGGGAAACCCUGACGCAGCAACGCCGCGUGAGUGAGGAAGGUUUUCGGAUCGUAAAGCUCUGUCAUUUGGGAAGAAAUGGCUGGAGGUUAAUACCCUUCGGUCUUGACGGUACCAACAGAGGAAGCACCGGCUAACUCCGUGCCAGCAGCCGCGGUAAUACGGAGGGUGCAAGCGUUGUUCGGAAUUACUGGGCGUAAAGGGCGUGUAGGCGGCUGAUUAAGUCAGAUGUGAAAGCCCUGGGCUCAACCCAGGAAGUGCAUUUGAAACUGGUCAGCUAGAGUACGGGAGAGGAAGGUGGAAUUCCUGGUGUAGAGGUGAAAUUCAUAGAUAUCGGGAAGAACACCGGUGGCGAAGGCGGCCUUCUGGCCCGAUACUGAAGCUGAGACGCGAAAGCGUGGGGAGCAAACA
Molecule: ribosomal RNA, 428 nt
Filed under: uncultured prokaryote
Description: bacterial SSU rRNA
Rfam family: Bacterial small subunit ribosomal RNA
Source: RNAcentral